ACACUUCCAUCAAACAGUACCUGCCCCUUAGGUGUGCUAGGGAAUAAAUGAAAUGCCUGGGACAUCAUCGUUAAGUGGCAUCUGAUGCAUAAGCAGUGCCCUAGGAAUGGGGUUGCCUGCCUUGGUCUCUAAAGGAUGGGUUCAAAAGGCAAGAGCAGCACACAAGAAGAUAGCUUCAAGCAGGAGAUAAAGCUUGGCCCAGGGCCCAAAGGGGAUACGACCCUUCAGGUUGGCCCUGACCUCUGGGUUGGAUUACCAGUGACACAAUGAACAUUUCAUUAUGAGGCCAUCCCUUGAGCAAACUGACAUGCUGAAAGCUGCCCUAUGGAGAGGCUCAUGUGGCAAGGAACAGAGGGUGGCUUCUGGCCAACACCCAGUGAGGAACUCAGGCCCUCAGUCAAACAGCCUGCAAGGAACUGAACCCUGCCAAUAACCGAGCCAUCCCGUGAGGCCGUUACUGCAAACAAGCUGAAAAUCCUGCUUUGUUUCUUUUGGACACAACAUGCUUUCCUUCAGCUUCAGUAGACGAUGAGGCCAGCACCACAUGGGCUAGAUGUACAUGAGAUGUGAGCAACCACACUUCCCCUCUGACGGGGACAGACAGCAUCACAGGCUGAGCUCUGAAACUUCUCCUGGCAGUUCAAGAGAGCGAUGGAGGGAAUGCUGGGGCACAUCUAAAUAAAGCCUCCAAGUGGGAGUUCCUGCUCAGCUAUGCAUGAGCUCUUUGUGACUUCAUCUCCCAGCCUACAACUUGUGAAAUAAGCACGACUUCACUCAGAGCACAGCCAGAAACAUACAAACUUUCCAAAAAUAUUUGAAUGUUGACAGCA
Long non-coding RNA from Homo sapiens (human), 830 nucleotides. Ensembl annotates it as CSMD2 antisense RNA 1. Its record names the gene CSMD2-AS1. NCBI's taxonomy places the organism in Eukaryota, Metazoa, Chordata, Mammalia, Primates, Hominidae. The record is from Ensembl.